Molecule: long non-coding RNA, 1451 nt
Filed under: Mustela putorius furo (domestic ferret)
Lineage: Eukaryota; Metazoa; Chordata; Mammalia; Carnivora; Mustelidae
Description: lncRNA (ENSMPUG00000023856.1)
Source: RNAcentral
GCCAUUGAGACCUGUUGUUUUGGAAACAGUACGCUGAGAAAAGCCAACCUCCAGUACGUUUGCAAGUGGGAAAGGAAGACCAUUGAGGACCCUCUGGCCAGGAGUUCUGGGGCCACAGCCUGAGAACCGCUGCUGAGGAUGGAGCCGUCUGGGGACUCCGGAGGGCAGGGGGGGGCGCUCCCUGUCGUUAGUGGGGCCCCAGUGCCUGCUGGGGGAGAUUCUUUACUCCCUUUUUAUUGCCCUAUAAAGCCCAAGGCAAGGGGGAUAUAAGGCUGGCAGGUCAGGGCCAGGGAGGGGGGUGGGAGAGAGGUGAUACUGACAUUGCUGGCAGACACAAUGAACUCUCUACUGGUCGGGGUCCUGCUCAGCACCCUACUGGGGUCUGCCCUGGGUAAGGAGGCAGCCAAGCCCUGUCUGCCUCUGCCAGCUGGCUCCUGGUCAGCCCAGGUCAAGCGCCUCUUCUCUUCUGCCAGGAACCCGCAUGCGGUGCUUCGAGUGCAAAGGAGAUUCCAGCAACUCCUGCAAAGAGACAGUGGCCACCUGCGGGGAGGGGGAGCACUGUGGCUUCCUGGAGCGCAAGCCCCAGCCUGGCCCCGGGCAGAACCAGCUGUCUGGAAACCGCUUGUGUGUUCCUUGGCCGGUCCAGCUGCGCCUGAGGGUGACAGGACAUGGAGUGUUCAUUUUCCACCUGAACUGACAAGAGGGAUGUUGGCUUCAGUCCAAAUCAGGAUCCCGCCUGGCAUUUAGUGCUCACCACGUCUUAGUCUCCUCUGAUCUGGGACAGUUCUGCGUCUUUGUCUUCCAUGACCUUGACACUUUUCAAGAGUCCCCAUAAGUUAUUUUAGAGACCAUCCCUCAAUUUACAUUUAUUUACUAUUUUCUCAUAAUUAGAUUGCAGUCAUGGAUUUUUGGCCAGAACAGCACAGCGAAGGGAGGUCGGGCCUUUUCAGCACCUUUGAAUCAGACGGCUAGCAAUGUCAGUGUUCAUUUUGGUUACUUGGUUUCAUGGAGGUGUUUUCUGGAGGGGACAGAGAAUCCCUCCGGGCUCCUGGAAGUCACAUCUGCUCUGCCCUAGAAGGCAAGUCCUCAAGCCAAGAGUCCAACACCGCAGUCUUGUUUUCUCUCUCAGCCUCAGUGACCUUGAUUCAUCACUAUCGAGCCUGUGUGGCAGCCCAUCAUUGCAAUCAAGUGGAAACGGAGUUGGUGGGAGACGUGACUUACACAACCCACAGGGAAUGCUGCGUCGGAGACCUGUGUAACAGCGCUGUGGCAAGCACCGUGGCCCCGCCAUGUGUGUUGGCUGCAGCAGCCGCCGCCCUGGCCUGGCUCUUGCCAGCACUGUGGAGAGACUAGUAGGCUGGGGCGGGAGGAGCAAGGGAGCAAGGGAACAAAGGAGAGCUGAGGUGAGAAGACAAACAACCCUCUGUGAGCCAUUAAAAUCUCUUCACCAC